RNAcentral lists this ribosomal RNA (468 nucleotides) under uncultured bacterium. RNAcentral's name for it is "partial 16S ribosomal RNA". It matches the Rfam family "Bacterial small subunit ribosomal RNA", at positions 28 to 507 of the family's 1533-position model. The record is from RNAcentral.
GACGAACGCUGGCGGCGUGCUUAACACAUGCAAGUCGAACGGAAAGGCCCUGCUUUUGUGGGGUGCUCGAGUAGCGAACGGGUGAGUAACACGUGAGUAACCUGCCCUUGACUUUGGGAUAACUUCAGGAAACUGGGGCUAAUACCGGAUAGGAGCUCCUGCUGCAUGGUGGGGGUUGGAAAGUUUCGGCGGUUGGGGAUGGACUCGCGGCUUAUCAGCUUGUUGGUGGGGUAGUGGCUUACCAAGGCUUUGACGGGUAGCCGGCCUGAGAGGGUGACCGGCCACAUUGGGACUGAGAUACGGCCCAGACUCCUACGGGAGGCAGCAGUGGGGAAUAUUGCACAAUGGGCGGAAGCCUGAUGCAGCAACGCCGCGUGCGGGAUGGCGGCCUUCGGGUUGUAAACCGCUUUCGCCUGUGACGAAGCGUGAGUGACGGUAAUGGGUAAAGAAGCACCGGCUAACUACGUG